GCUGUGACUCAGUGGCUGAGCAUCUGCUUUGCAUGCAGAAGGUCCUGCAGUUCAGUCCCUGGCAUCUCCA
Podarcis lilfordi (Lilford's wall lizard) is the source of this 70-nucleotide non-coding RNA. NCBI's taxonomy places the organism in Eukaryota, Metazoa, Chordata, Lepidosauria, Squamata, Lacertidae. The record is from the annotation of a GenBank genome assembly.